Molecule: ribosomal RNA, 301 nt
Filed under: uncultured bacterium
Lineage: Bacteria
Description: partial 16S ribosomal RNA
Rfam family: Bacterial small subunit ribosomal RNA
Source: RNAcentral
CAGUAGCCACGGGAAUACAGAGGGUGCGAGCGUUAAUCGGAUUUACUGGGCGUAAAGCGUGCGUAGGCGGCUUCUUAAGUCGGAUGUUAAAUCCCUGAGCUUAACUUAGGAAUUGCAUUCGAUACUGGGAAGCUAGAGUAUGGGAGAGGAUGGUAGAAUUCCAGGUGUAGCGGUGAAAUGCGUAGAGAUCUGGAGGAAUACCGAUGGCGAAGGCAGCCAUCUGGCCUAAUACUGACGCUGAGGCGCGAAAGCGUGGGGAGCAAACAGGAUUAGAUACCCCUGUAGUCCCUGUCUCUUAUAC